AUACCGGCGGCUCGAGUGGUGGCCACUUUUAUUGGGCUUAAAGCGUUCGUAGCUGGGUUGUUAAGUCCCUUGGGAAAUCUGACGGCUUAACCGUCAGGCGUCUAAGAGAUACUGGCAAUCUUGGAACCGGGAGAGGUGAGGGGUACUUCGGGGGUAGGAGUGAAAUCCUGUAAUCCUCGAGGGACCACCUGUGGCGAAGGCGCCUCACCAGAACGGCUUCGACAGUGAGGGACGAAAGCCGGGGGAGC
Molecule: ribosomal RNA, 248 nt
Filed under: uncultured bacterium
Lineage: Bacteria
Description: partial 16S ribosomal RNA
Rfam family: Archaeal small subunit ribosomal RNA
Source: RNAcentral